CUUGGGUGACGAGUGGCGGACGGGUGAGUAAUGUCUGGGGAUCUGCCCGAUAGAGGGGGAUAACCACUGGAAACGGUGGCUAAUACCGCAUAACGUCGCAAGACCAAAGAGGGGGACCUUCGGGCCUCUCACUAUCGGAUGAACCCAGAUGGGAUUAGCUAGUAGGCGGGGUAAUGGCCCACCUAGGCGACGAUCCCUAGCUGGUCUGAGAGGAUGACCAGCCACACUGGAACUGAGACACGGUCCAGACUCCUACGGGAGGCAGCAGUGGGGAAUAUUGCACAAUGGGCGCAAGCCUGAUGCAGCCAUGCCGCGUGUAUGAAGAAGGCCUUCGGGUUGUAAAGUACUUUCAGCGGGGAGGAAGGCGAUGGGGUUAAUAACCUUAUCGAUUGACGUUACCCGCAGAAGAAGCACCGGCUAACUCCGUGCCAGCAGCCGCGGUAAUACGGAGGGUGCAAGCGUUAAUCGGAAUUACUGGGCGUAAAGCGCACGCAGGCGGUCUGUUAAGUCAGAUGUGAAAUCCCCGGGCUUAACCUGGGAACUGCAUUUGAAACUGGCAGGCUUGAGUCUUGUAGAGGGGGGUAGAAUUCCAGGUGUAGCGGUGAAAUGCGUAGAGAUCUGGAGGAAUACCGGUGGCGAAGGCGGCCCCCUGGACAAAGAC
RNAcentral lists this ribosomal RNA (661 nucleotides) under uncultured Pantoea sp. RNAcentral describes it as "bacterial SSU rRNA". It matches the Rfam family "Bacterial small subunit ribosomal RNA", at positions 83 to 740 of the family's 1533-position model. Lineage: Bacteria; Pseudomonadati; Pseudomonadota; Gammaproteobacteria; Enterobacterales; Erwiniaceae. The record is from RNAcentral.